This 462-nucleotide ribosomal RNA is filed under the name uncultured bacterium. RNAcentral describes it as "bacterial SSU rRNA". It matches the Rfam family "Bacterial small subunit ribosomal RNA", at positions 29 to 506 of the family's 1533-position model. The record is from RNAcentral.
ACGAACGCUGGCGGCGUGCUUAACACAUGCAAGUCGAGCGGUAAGGCCCUUUCGGGGGUACACGAGCGGCGAACGGGUGAGUAACACGUGGGUGACCUGCCCUCCACUCUGGGAUAAGCCCGGGAAACUGGGUCUAAUACCGGAUAGGACCACUGAUCGCAUGGUUGGUGGUGGAAAGUUUUUUCGGUGGGGGAUGGGCCCGCGGCCUAUCAGCUUGUUGGUGGGGUGAUGGCCUACCAAGGCGGUGACGGGUAGCCGGCCUGAGAGGGCGACCGGCCACACUGGGACUGAGACACGGCCCAGACUCCUACGGGAGGCAGCAGUGGGGAAUAUUGCGCAAUGGGCGGAAGCCUGACGCAGCGACGCCGCGUGGGGGAUGACGGCCUUCGGGUUGUAAACCUCUUUCGCCAGGGACGAAGAGCAAUUGACGGUACCUGGAGAAGAAGCACCGGCCAACUACGU